RNAcentral lists this long non-coding RNA (3029 nucleotides) under Sus scrofa (pig). RNAcentral describes it as "lncRNA (ENSSSCG00000062789.1)". The record is from RNAcentral. Lineage: Eukaryota; Metazoa; Chordata; Mammalia; Artiodactyla; Suidae.
AAAAGACUGUCUUUUCCCCAUGUUAUGUUUUUGCCUCCUUUGUCAAAGAUUUAUUGACCAUAGGUGUCUGGGUUUAUUUCUGGGUUCUCUAUUCUGUUCCAUUGGUCUGUCUGUCUGUUUUGGUACCAAUACCACACUGUCUUGAUGACUGUGACUUUGCAAUAUUGCCUGAAGUCUGGGAGAUUUAUGCCUCCUGCUUGGUUUUUGUUCCUCAGGAUUGCUUUGACAAUUCUGGGUCUUUUGUGCUUCCAUAUGAAUUUUUGGAUUGUUUGUUGUAGUUCUGUGAAAAAUGUCAUGGGUAAUUUGAUAGGGAUUGUAUUGAAUCUGUAGAUUGCUUUGGGUAGUAUGGCCAUUUUUUUUUUCUUUUUUUUGUCUUUUUGCCAUUUCUUGGGCUGCUCUGCAGCAUAUGGAGGUUCCCAGGCUAGGGGUUGAAUCAGAGCUGUAGCCACUGGCCCACGCCAGAGCCAGAGCAAUGCGGGAUCUGAGCCAUGUCUGCAACCCACACCACAGCUCAUGGCAAUGCCGGGUCAUUAACCCAUUGAGCAAGUCCAGGGAGUGAACCCGCAACCUCAUGGUUCUUAGUUGGGUUCCUUAACCACUGCGCCACAAUGGGAACUCCAGUAAGGCCAUUUUUACAAUAUUAAUUUUUCCAACCCAGGAUCAUGGAAUAUCUUUCCAUGUUUUACAUCUUCUUUAAUUUCCUUGAUUAUUUUUUCAUAGUUCUCAGCAUAUAAGUCUUUCAUCUCCUUGGUCAGGUGGAUUCCCAGGUAUUUGAUUUUCUGGGGUGCGAUUUUAAAAGGUAUGUAUUUUUGUAUUUCUCAAUUGAUUUAUUUUUGCUUUUAUUUCUGUUGCCUUGGGAGUCUGAGCUGAGAAAAUAUUUGUAGGCUUGAUAUCAGAGAAUAUUUUGGCUAUGUUCUCUUCUAGGAGUUUGAUGGUGACUUGUCUUAUGUUUAAGUCUUUAAGCCAUUUUGAGUUUAUUUUUGUGCAUGUUGUGAGAGUGUCUUCCAGUUUCAUUGAUUUAAAUGCAGCUGUCCAGUUUCCCCAGCACCACUUGCUGAAAAGAAUGUUGUUUUCCCAUUUUAUGUUCUUGCCUCCUUUGUCAAAGAUUAAUUUGACCAUAGCUGUCUGGUUUUAUCCCUGGAUUCUCUAUUCUGUUCCAUUGGUCAUAUGGCAGAUUUGGUACCAGUACCACACUGUUUUGAUGACUGUGGUUUUGUAAUAUUGCCUGAAGUCUGGGAGAGUUAUGCCCCCUGCUUGGUUUUUGUUCCUCAGGAUUGCUUUGACAAUUCUGGAUCUUUUGUGAUUCUAUAUAAAUUUUUGGAUUGUUUGUUGUUGUUCUGUGAAAAAUGUCAUGAGUAAUUUAAUAGGGAUUGUGUUGAAUCUGUAGAUUGCUUUGGUAAGUAUGGCCAUUGUUACAAUACUGAUUUUUCUAACCCAGGAGCAUGGACUAUCUUUCUAUUUUUUGAAUCCUCUUUAAUUUCCUCGAUUAAUGUUUUAUUGUUCUCAGCACAUAAGUCUUUCACUUCCUUAGUCAGGCGUAUUCCCAGGUAUUUGAUUUUUGGGGGUGCAAUUUUAAAAGGUAUUGUAUUUUUGUAUUCCUUUUAUAAUAUUUCAUUGUUAGUACACAGAAAUGUGACUGAUUUCUGAAUAUUAAUCUUCUAUCCUGCUACUUUGCUGAAUUUGUUAAUCAGUUUGAGUAGUUUUUGGCUUGAGUUGUUAGGGUUUUCUCUAAAUAGUAUCAUGUCAUCUCCAUACAGUGAUAAUUUUACCUCUUCUCUUAUAAUUUGGAUACCUUUUAUUUCUUUUGUUUGUCUGAUUGCUGUGGCUAGGACUUCUAAUACAAUGUUGAAUUAAAGUGGUGAGGGUGGGCAUCUUUUUCUUGUUCUGGAUUUUUGUGGGAAGGCUUUCAGAUUUUCUCCAUUGAGUAUUAUAUUUGCUGUGCGUUUGUUGUAAAUGGCUUUUAUUAUGUUAAGGUAAGAAAAACAUUAUUUGAUGAUUCAGGUAAUCUUGGAUUUCUGCACUGACUUUUCAAUGACAAGGUAUCUGAUACGUACUAAUCAGCCUAGUUCUUACCAUGUCUUUGAUAUUCUCUGGUACAGCAAUUUGAAACUACACUCAAUUCCAUUUGGCAAAAUGUCCUAUGAUAUUUUUUACAACUGUGCAUUAAUUUCUUACAGAACAUUAAUGGUACCCUCUAAGAGAACUAAUAGCAUUAGUGGAUAUCUUUUCUUAUGUUGUAGAGUCAGUCUAAAUUUUCUCUGUUUUUUGAAAAUCAUUUAAUCUGCAAGAUUGGUUUCCUAACUAAAUUUUGAUUAUACCAUUUAAAAAAAGGUUGUUUCCAAGGGGAGGGUGGAGGAAGUGGAAUGGAUGGGAUUUGUGCUUAGUAGAUGCAAACUAUUACAUUUAGAAUGGAUAAGCAAUGAGGUCCUACUGUACAGACUAGGAAAAUACAUACAAUCUCUUGAGAUAGACCAUGAUAGAAAAUAGUAUGAGUAAAAAAUAGUAUGACUGGGUCACUGUGCUGUAUGGCAAAAUUGACACAACCCUGUAAAUCAACUAUGCCCUAUUUUUUAACAAGGCAAGAUUAUUUUUGAUUUUAUAUUAAACAUCUCAUAGGUAUGAUAUACUGAAUAAAUGCUAUUUAUAAUUAUGGAGUAUGAUGGAGAUGAUGAUUGUGGGAUUGCUUUUAUGGCUCUCAGGUACAAGGAUACUGCAUGAAAUAUUUUAAUUUAUCCUUUGUAUUCUCAGAUGAAACUUUUUGAUAUCCCUGACAAUUAAGUCCAGUUAAAAAUUGUUUUUCUGGGGUUACCAUUUUGGCUCAGCCCUAACAAAUCCUACCAGUCUCCAUGAGGAUACAGGCUUGACCCCUGGCUUCACUCAGUGGGUUAAGGAUCUGGCAUUUCCAGUGUAGGUCUCAGAUGCAGCUAGGAUCUAGUGUUGCUGUGGCUGUGGUGUAUACUGGCAGCUGUAGCUCUAACUUAACCCCCAUCCUGGGAGAUUCCAUAUGCUGAGGAUGCAGCCCUAAAAAG